RNAcentral lists this ribosomal RNA (271 nucleotides) under uncultured bacterium. RNAcentral's name for it is "partial 16S ribosomal RNA". It matches the Rfam family "Bacterial small subunit ribosomal RNA", at positions 29 to 310 of the family's 1533-position model. The record is from RNAcentral.
AACGAACGCUGGCGGCGUGCUUAACACAUGCAAGUCGAACGGGCUCUUCGGAGCUAGUGGCGGACGGGUGAGUAAUACAUAGGAAAUCUGCCUUUAAGUGGGGGACAACACUCCGAAAGGAAUGCUAAUACCGCGUAAUGUCAUUGGUUGAAAAUACUGAUGAAGAAAGAUUUAUCGCUUUUAGAGGAGCCUAUGCUUGAUUAGCUAGUUGGUGGGGUAAAAGCCUACCAAGGCGAACGAUCAAUAGCUGGUCUGAGAGGACGAUCAGCCA